AUUGAACGCUGGCGGCAGGCCUAACACAUGCAAGUCGAACGGUAACAGGAAGAAGCUUGCUUCUUUGCUGACGAGUGGCGGACGGGUGAGUAAUGUCUGGGAAACUGCCUGAUGGAGGGGGAUAACUACUGGAAACGGUAGCUAAUACCGCAUAACGUCGCAAGACCAAAGAGGGGGACCUUCGGGCCUCUUGCCAUCGGAUGUGCCCAGAUGGGAUUAGCUAGUAGGUGGGGUAACGGCUCACCUAGGCGACGAUCCCUAGCUGGUCUGAGAGGAUGACCAGCCACACUGGAACUGAGACACGGUCCAGACUCCUACGGGAGGCAGCGGUGGGGAAUAUUGCACAAUGGGCGCAAGCCUGAUGCAGCCAUGCCGCGUGUAUGAAGAAGGCCUUCGGGUUGUAAAGUACUUUCAGCGGGGAGGAAGGGAGUAAAGUUAAUACCUUUACUCAUUGACGUUACCCGCAGAAGAAGCACCGGCUAACUCCGUG
RNAcentral lists this ribosomal RNA (490 nucleotides) under uncultured bacterium. RNAcentral's name for it is "partial 16S ribosomal RNA". It matches the Rfam family "Bacterial small subunit ribosomal RNA", at positions 30 to 507 of the family's 1533-position model. The record is from RNAcentral.